RNAcentral lists this ribosomal RNA (437 nucleotides) under Palpopleura lucia. Its description in RNAcentral is "partial 28S ribosomal RNA". It matches the Rfam family "Eukaryotic large subunit ribosomal RNA", at positions 1509 to 1884 of the family's 3401-position model. The record is from RNAcentral. Lineage: Eukaryota; Metazoa; Arthropoda; Insecta; Odonata; Libellulidae.
UCGUGUGAACAGCCGUUGCACACGAGUCAGUGGAUCCUAAGCCCUAGGAGAAAUCCGAUGCAAACNGCNAUGGGAAANGCACUGNCUUUGAGAGACNGAGNCCCAUUGAUCGGGCGAAAGGGAAUCCGGUUCCUAUUCCGGAACCCGGCAGCGGAACCGUUGUUUGUCGGGCCCUCACAAGGGGUUCGUCAGGGCAACCUAAAAGGGCCCGGAGACGCCGUCGGGGGCCCCGGAAAGAGUUUUCUUUUCUGCAUGAGCGUUCGAGUUCCCUGGAAUCCUCUCGCAGGGAGAUAGGGUUUGGAACGCGAAGAGCACCGCAGUUGCGGCGGUGCGCGGGAAUUCCCGACGGACCUUGAAAAUCCGGGAGAGGGCCACGUGGAGGYGUCGCUCCGYCUYGUACCCAYAUCCGCAGCAGGUCUCCCAGCAGAAGAGCCUCC